This 335-nucleotide RNase P RNA is filed under the name Candidatus Nomurabacteria bacterium. RNAcentral describes it as "RNase P RNA component class A". It matches the Rfam family "Bacterial RNase P class A". Rfam says of the family: Ribonuclease P (RNase P) is a ubiquitous endoribonuclease, found in archaea, bacteria and eukarya as well as chloroplasts and mitochondria. Its best characterised activity is the generation of mature 5'-ends of tRNAs by cleaving the 5'-leader elements of precursor-tRNAs. Cellular RNase Ps are ribonucleoproteins. Lineage: Bacteria; Candidatus Nomuraibacteriota. The record is from RNAcentral.
UUGUUGUACUGGAUGAUCGCGCUUGUCGAAAGGCAGGUGAGGAAAGUCCGAACACAGGCUUAUGAAAAUAAGCAGCAGGGUAGUGGGUAAUUCCCAUCCAUAGCAAUAUGCGAGGUGCGAGCAGUGACGUCUAAUCCGAAAGGAGAGGAAUUCCCUUGGGAAUAAUCCAAUGGAGACAUUGGGGUGAAACGGCUAAAUCCUUACUUCUGUGCAAGACCGUGUCCUAGCUUGCUAGGGAGAGUCGCUUGAGGGUAUUGGCAACAAUACUCCUAGAUAAAUGAUUGUCGUCUAUCGCAAGAUAGAUACAGAAUUCGGCUUAUAGGUACAACAAAAAA